AUUGAACGCUGGCGGCAGGCCUAACACAUGCAAGUCGAACGAGUGGCGGACGGGUGAGUAAUGCCUGGGAAACUGCCUGAUGGAGGGGGAUAACUACUGGAAACGGUAGCUAAUACCGCCAACCAUCAGAUGUGCACAGAUGGGAUGAGCUCGUGGGUGGGGUAACGGCUCACAAAGGCCACGAUCCCUAGCUGAUCUGAGAGGAUGACCCGCCACACUGGAACUGAGACACGGCCCAGACUCCUACGGGAGGCAGCAGUGGGGAAUAUUGCGCAAUGGGCGAAAGCCUGAUGGAGCCAUGCCGCGUGUAUGAAGAAGGCUUUCGGUUUGUAAAGUACUUUCAGCGGGGAGGCGUUACCCGCAGAAGAAGCCCCGGCUAACUCCGUGCCAGCAGCCGCGGUAAUUC
Molecule: ribosomal RNA, 406 nt
Filed under: uncultured bacterium
Lineage: Bacteria
Description: partial 16S ribosomal RNA
Rfam family: Bacterial small subunit ribosomal RNA
Source: RNAcentral